GCGUGAACACAAGCGUGAUACC
This 22-nucleotide microRNA is filed under the name Ixodes scapularis (black-legged tick). Its description in RNAcentral is "Isc-Mir-1993_5p* (star (passenger))". Lineage: Eukaryota; Metazoa; Arthropoda; Arachnida; Ixodida; Ixodidae. The record is from RNAcentral.